CUGUGUUAGCCCUUCAAAAGGUUCUCUGAAUGCACUGGGAGAAGUAACUUCAGCUUCACCCUUUGCUUCAGUGAAAAUCUAAGUAUUUGGCAAAACAUAUCUAUUUUUUUUUUUUUUCUGACAGGCUUUUUGCCUCAGUUGCAGAACUGCUCCAGUUAAUCCAUUUUGCUCACACUGAGUUUUGCCAUCACACUGAAAUGCUGCUGGAAGAAAAGAAGAUGAUCAACAGCAAAUCUCUCCUGCUGCAAUCCAGUCCUGUCCACUCUGCCUGGCAGAAAGGUCAGAGCUGCAGGAUGAGCCUGUUUCCAGUGGCAUUGAGGGACUUGCAUCGUUGGUCCUGCACCUCAAGAGAAAAUGGAACAGAAAUGGGAGAUCUGGGUAGGAUAAUGAUUUCCAGCCUUCUUCUGAGGAAGAUAUUCUAGGAAUGUUUCCUCACAAAGUACAGGCUGUGUAUUUAGAAAACGGACCAUUCAUUUUUGCUAAAUUUGUCAUCUGAAAAACUGGUGCCUACACGAAGGAACAGAGGCUUAUGGAUAGAGACACCUUUCAUUCUGCUUUGAGCAAAUAAUUCUUUCAUUUGCUAAGUACUUUUUUACCAUAGUAAAGAUGUCCAGCAGUGCUGAACUGCAGUGAAUUGUACCUGGAAUUUUAUAAACUGUAUCUGUAUAACCAAGAAGCUCAGCACGUGUUGCGCCACUCAAUAUUUUCCCCGUUGAUUGCAGCAGUAUUUCAGACGAGUCCCCAGGGAAAUACAGCAACUUCCUUUUGUUCAGAAAGUCAUCAAAACCAGGCAGCUCAUGAUCUUUAUCAGCAAAAUUAUUUGCAUUUCUUUUGCUACAGCCUCAGAGAGAGGAAAGGGGGCACAGGGAAUGAAACACAAGAGUGGAGCUGCUUGGCAGAGGCUCUAAAGCAGAGCCUGAAGUGUAUUUAUGGUUAUAAUUUCGCACAGAUCACUUGGUGCUCUAACACCGUGCUCCUGAUCACAACAUACAUCACACUUUAAUUUUAACCUUUGCAAUUCAUCAAUAGUUUCAAUAUCAAAUAUAAUUCAGCACUGACACUAUUGGUUUACAGGUAAGUGGAAUAAGAAUGGAGGAGACUUAGUAAUGGAUUAGUUGGCCUGUCAGCAGAGGCAGAAAGAUUCAUGUUGUCUUCUCUAUGUUUCUAUCACAUGCACAAAGCUAUAAAUAAUGGCAACAGCUAAUCAGACACAAGAAAGAUAUAUGCUGUCAUUGAAAAUCAGUUAUUUCUACCAUCUGAGCUCUAAAAAUUUAACCACUGAAAAGGAAUCCAUUUAAUAAAACAGCAUUUUGCUGCUUGUUUUGCA
RNAcentral lists this long non-coding RNA (1327 nucleotides) under Zonotrichia albicollis (white-throated sparrow). RNAcentral describes it as "lncRNA (ENSZALG00000011248.1)". The record is from RNAcentral. Lineage: Eukaryota; Metazoa; Chordata; Aves; Passeriformes; Passerellidae.